This 497-nucleotide ribosomal RNA is filed under the name uncultured bacterium. Its description in RNAcentral is "partial 16S ribosomal RNA". It matches the Rfam family "Bacterial small subunit ribosomal RNA", at positions 28 to 507 of the family's 1533-position model. The record is from RNAcentral.
GAUGAACGCUGGCGGCGUGCCUAAUACAUGCAAGUCGAGCGAACAGAUGAGGAGCUUGCUCCUCUGACGUUAGCGGCGGACGGGUGAGUAACACGUGGAUAACCUACCUAUAGGACUGGGAUAACUUCGGGAAACCGGAGCUAAUACCGGAUAAUAUAUUGAACCGCAUGGUUCAAUAGUGAAAGACGGUUUUGCUGUCACUUAUAGAUGGAUCCGCGCCGCAUUAGCUAGUUGGUAAGGUAACGGCUUACCAAGGCAACGAUGCGUAGCCGACCUGAGAGGGUGAUCGGCCACACUGGAACUGAGACACGGUCCAGACUCCUACGGGAGGCAGCAGUAGGGAAUCUUCCGCAAAGGGCGAAAGCCUGACGGAGCAACGCCGCGUGAGUGAUGAAGGUCUUCGGAUCGUAAAACUCUGUUAUUAGGGAAGAACAAAUGUGUAAGUAACUAUGCACGUCUUGACGGUACCUAAUCAGAAAGCCACGGCUAACUACGUG